This 90-nucleotide transfer RNA is filed under the name Candidatus Saccharimonadota bacterium. Its description in RNAcentral is "tRNA-Ser". It matches the Rfam family "tRNA". Rfam says of the family: Transfer RNA (tRNA) molecules are approximately 80 nucleotides in length. Their secondary structure includes four short double-helical elements and three loops (D, anti-codon, and T loops). The record is from RNAcentral. Lineage: Bacteria; Candidatus Saccharimonadota.
GGAGAGAUGUCCGAGUGGUUGAUGGAAAUAGUCUUGAAAACUAUCGAGCCCGCAAGGGUUCCGAGGGUUCGAAUCCCUCUCUCUCCGCCA